CCUACGGGCUGCACCAGUGGGGAAUAUUGCACAAUGGGCGCAAGCCUGAUGCAGCCAUGCUGCGUGUAUGAAGAAGGCCUUCGGGUUGUAAAGUACUUUCAGCGGGGAGGAAGGCGAUAAGGUUAAUAACCUUGUCGAUUGACGUUACCCGCAGAAGAAGCACCGGCUAACUCCGUGCCAGCAGCCGCGGUAAUACGGAGGGUGCAUGCGUUAAUCGGAAUUACUGGGCGUAAAGCGCACGCAGGCGGUCUGUCAAGUCGGAUGUGAAAUCCCCGGGCUCAGCCUGGGAACUGCAUUCGAAACUGGCAGGCUAAAGUCUUGUAGAGGGGGGUGGAAUUCCAGGUGUAGCGGUGAAAUGCGUAGAGAUCUGGAGGAAUACCGGUGGCGAAGGCGGCCCCCUGGACAAAGACUGACGCUCAGGUGCGAAAGCGUGGGGAGCAAACAGGAUUAGAUACCCUCGUAGUC
RNAcentral lists this ribosomal RNA (465 nucleotides) under uncultured bacterium. RNAcentral's name for it is "bacterial SSU rRNA". It matches the Rfam family "Bacterial small subunit ribosomal RNA", at positions 338 to 795 of the family's 1533-position model. The record is from RNAcentral.